RNAcentral lists this ribosomal RNA (478 nucleotides) under uncultured bacterium. RNAcentral's name for it is "partial 16S ribosomal RNA". It matches the Rfam family "Bacterial small subunit ribosomal RNA", at positions 28 to 507 of the family's 1533-position model. The record is from RNAcentral.
GAUGAACGCUGGCGGCGUGCUUAACACAUGCAAGUCGAACGGGAAACCUUUUAUUGAAGCUUCGGCAGAUUUAGCUGGUUUCUAGUGGCGGACGGGUGAGUAACGCGUGGGUAACCUGCCUUAUACAGGGGGAUAACAACCAGAAAUGGUUGCUAAUACCGCAUAAGCGCACAGGACCGCAUGGUCCGGUGUGAAAAACUCCGGUGGUAUAAGAUGGACCCGCGUUGGAUUAGCUAGUUGGCAGGGUAACGGCCUACCAAGGCGACGAUCCAUAGCCGGCCUGGGAGGGUGAACGGCCACAUUGGGACUGGGACACAGCCCAGACUCCUACGGGAGGCAGCAGUGGGGAAUAUUGCACAAUGGGGGAAACCCUGAUGCAGCGACGCCGCGUGAAGGAAGAAGUAUCUCGGUAUGUAAACUUCUAUCAGCAGGGAAGAUAGUGACGGUACCUGACUAAGAAGCCCCGGCUAACUACGUG